RNAcentral lists this ribosomal RNA (981 nucleotides) under uncultured Intrasporangiaceae bacterium. RNAcentral's name for it is "bacterial SSU rRNA". It matches the Rfam family "Bacterial small subunit ribosomal RNA", at positions 25 to 1015 of the family's 1533-position model. Lineage: Bacteria; Bacillati; Actinomycetota; Actinomycetes; Micrococcales; Intrasporangiaceae. The record is from RNAcentral.
AACGACGAACGCUGGCGGCGUGCUUAACACAUGCAAGUCGAACGGUGACGAGGAGCUUGCUCCUCUGAUCAGUGGCGAACGGGUGAGUAACACGUGAGCAACCUGCCCCAGACUCUGGGAUAACAGUUGGAAACAGCUGCUAAUACCGGAUACGAGACGGAGAGGCAUCUCUACCGUCUGGAAAGUUUUUCGGUCUGGGAUGGACUCGCGGCCUAUCAGCUAGUUGGUGAGGUAAUGGCUCACCAAGGCGACGACGGGUAGCCGGCCUGAGAGGGCGACCGGCCACACUGGGACUGAGACACGGCCCAGACUCCUACGGGAGGCAGCAGUGGGGAAUAUUGCACAAUGGGCGAAAGCCUGAUGCAGCGACGCCGCGUGAGGGAUGAAGGCCUUCGGGUUGUAAACCUCUUUCAGCAGGGAAGAAGCGAAAGUGACGGUACCUGCAGAAGAAGCACCGGCUAACUACGUGCCAGCAGCCGCGGUAAUACGUAGGGUGCGAGCGUUGUCCGGAAUUAUUGGGCGUAAAGAGCUUGUAGGCGGUAUUGCUCGCGUCUGCAGUGAAAAUCCGGGGCUCAACCCCGGACUUGCUGUGGGUACGGGCAGACUAGAGUAUGGUAGGGAGACCGGAAUUCCUGGUGUAGCGGUGGAAUGCGCAGAUAUCAGGAGGAACACCGAUGGCGAAGGCAGGUCUCUGGGCCAUAACUGACGCUGAGAAGCGAAAGCAUGGGGAGCGAACAGGAUUAGAUACCCUGGUAGUCCAUGCCGUAAACGUUGGGCGCUAGGUGUGGGACUCAUUCCACGAGUUCCGUGCCGCAGCUAACGCAUUAAGCGCCCCGCCUGGGGAGUACGGCCGCAAGGCUAAAACUCAAAGGAAUUGACGGGGGCCCGCACAAGCGGCGGAGCAUGCGGAUUAAUUCGAUGCAACGCGAAGAACCUUACCAAGGCUUGACAUAUACCGGAAACAUCCAGAGAUGGGUGCCC